UUUGAUCCACACAAUUAAUAACAGAAGAUAUAGUAAAAAAAAUGUUUUUGUAAUUUCAUAUGUUACUAUUACAUUCUCACAUGUUUUAGGACCAAAAAACUACUGUAACUGUAAUAAGACAAACUAAACUUUUCAGAGGUUUUGGAUUAUCUAGUACUAUUUGUGUUUUUAUUUGAAGUUUGAAAAAAUUGUUUCCUUGAGAACAAAAGUGAUGAUGGGAAAUGAGAUUAUCUUCUUUUUUGGCUAAGAUUUUGAGCCAACCACUGAACAAGUUCAAAACAAGUUAUUUCAUUGGUAAUUAAUUAUACUUUCUUCUCA
RNAcentral lists this long non-coding RNA (318 nucleotides) under Medicago truncatula (barrel medic). RNAcentral describes it as "lncRNA gene13188". Lineage: Eukaryota; Viridiplantae; Streptophyta; Magnoliopsida; Fabales; Fabaceae. The record is from RNAcentral.